Molecule: long non-coding RNA, 203 nt
Organism: Schistocerca piceifrons (Central American locust)
Lineage: Eukaryota; Metazoa; Arthropoda; Insecta; Orthoptera; Acrididae
Exons: 3
Source: RefSeq, a predicted model, not a curated record
CGCGGCCGCUACCGUAGCAACAGUGUGUGCGCGCGCGCUCCGGCACCGUCUUCUGUCACCUGUCAGCGGUCAGCUGGACCCGUGCUCGUCCCGAACAGGAUUUUCAACUGAGAGCAUUCCAUUUGGCUACCGGCAUUGAUAUGGACGGCUUGUAUCGCAGACAGACCCAUCUCGCCAGAGGUGGGCAGAUGCCAAGGAUACUU